Non-coding RNA from Dictyocaulus viviparus (bovine lungworm), 72 nucleotides. The record is from Rfam. Lineage: Eukaryota; Metazoa; Nematoda; Chromadorea; Rhabditida; Metastrongylidae.
GUGUUCGUAGUGUAAUGGUUAGCGUGAAUCCUUUUCAAGCAUUCGAUGGUGGUUCGAUUCCACUCAAAUGCA